CCUACGGGAGGCAGCAGUGAGGAAUAUUGGUCAAUGGACGAGAGUCUGAACCAGCCAAGUAGCGUGAAGGAUGACUGCCCUAUGGGUUGUAAACUUCUUUUAUAGGGGAAUAAAACGUUCCACGUGUGGGAUUUUGUAUGGACCAUAUGAAUAAGGAUCGGCUAACUCCGUGCCAGCAGCCGCGGUAAGACGGAGGAUCCGAGCGUUAUCCGGAUUUAUUGGGUUUAAAGGGAGCGUAGGGGGCUUGUUAAGUCAGUUGGGAUCGUUUGCGGCUCCACCGUAAAAUUGCAGUUGCAACUGGCAGUCUUGAGUACAGUCGCGGUGGGCGGCAUUCGUGUUGUAGCGG
RNAcentral lists this ribosomal RNA (346 nucleotides) under uncultured bacterium. Its description in RNAcentral is "partial 16S ribosomal RNA". It matches the Rfam family "Bacterial small subunit ribosomal RNA", at positions 338 to 681 of the family's 1533-position model. The record is from RNAcentral.